AACGUAGGACGCAAGCGUUAUCCGGAGUUACUGGGCGUAAAGCGCGGGCAGGCGGUCUGACAAGUCUGAUGUGAAAUCUCCGGGCUCAACCGGGAGAGGCCAUUGGAAACUGACAGGCUGGAGGGCAGUAGAGGUAGGCGGAAUUCCUGGUGUAGCGGUGAAAUGCGCAGAUAUCAGGAAGAACACCCGUGGCGAAGGCGGUUCUCUGGGACGGUACUGACGCUGAGACGCGAAAGCGUGGGGAGCGAACAGG
Molecule: ribosomal RNA, 253 nt
Filed under: uncultured bacterium
Lineage: Bacteria
Description: partial 16S ribosomal RNA
Rfam family: Bacterial small subunit ribosomal RNA
Source: RNAcentral